This 301-nucleotide ribosomal RNA is filed under the name uncultured bacterium. RNAcentral describes it as "partial 16S ribosomal RNA". It matches the Rfam family "Bacterial small subunit ribosomal RNA", at positions 509 to 807 of the family's 1533-position model. The record is from RNAcentral.
CAGCCGCCGCGGGAAAACGUAGGGUGCGAGCGUUAAUCGGAAUUACUGGGCGUAAAGCGUGCGCAGGCGGUUAUAUAAGACAGAUGUGAAAUCCCCGGGCUCAACCUGGGACCUGCAUUUGUGACUGUAUAGCUAGAGUACGGUAGAGGGGGAUGGAAUUCCGCGUGUAGCAGUGAAAUGCGUAGAUAUGCGGAGGAACACCGAUGGCGAAGGCAAUCCCCUGGACCUGUACUGACGCUCAUGCACGAAAGCGUGGGGAGCAAACAGAAUUAGAUACCCGAGUAGUCCCUGUCUCUUAUAC